This 1127-nucleotide long non-coding RNA is filed under the name Medicago truncatula (barrel medic). Its description in RNAcentral is "long non-coding RNA (MTRU_LNC008045)". Lineage: Eukaryota; Viridiplantae; Streptophyta; Magnoliopsida; Fabales; Fabaceae. The record is from RNAcentral.
ACGCAGGGCCCCACCAGCCGUCCAGUACCUUUGACAACUCUUACAAAAAUGUCUUGGUUGAUUAACGUUGUAAUUAUUGAAAUAACAAAAUUUAGUUUCCAUACUCUUGCAUCUUGGACAUGGUAUGAUCUUUUCUAUCUUCUUCUCCACCGUUUGAUCUUCACUUUCUUUUUCACCUUCUUUUAAUUCUUCACCAUGCAAUUUUAUUGUUGUGCCAAAUAGCUUAAUCCCUUGAUUUUCUUCACCUUUUCUCACUUCAGCCAUAUUUUCAUGUAAAGAGAGAAAUAGAGAGAGAGAGAGAGAGAGAGAGAGAGAGAGAGAGGUUGUUAUUGGAUUAUUCUUAAUAGAGAAGGUUUUGGUUGGCGUUAUAAUAGAAGGGGUUUAUAUAGAGAUAAAUAAAGCAAAAAAGUGCUUAUUAGUUAGCACAAUCAUAAACCACGUGCUACACGACAAAAGAAGUAGACGUAGGUGGAGUAUAAAGUGGCUUGUGAAAGAAAAUGUGAAAAGUGAGAAGAGUGGAAAGCGGUUGAGGGUACUGAACAGUAGAAUUUUGGAUUAACAAUAUGAACAACUUUAAAAGGAUAAGAGCAAUUUUCUAGAAUUUUUUGGUUGAGUUUUUACUUUUUGUGUCCAAUGAGAAAUUGAGUUAGUCUACGUCAUCAUCAUGUAGUGCUGAAAUGUCUAACAAGUGGGACCAAUCCAGAUAGAUCGCUUGAGAAGUGUCAAAAGUUAGUCGAAAGGGAAUGCAUGUACUUUUGUUUUGCAUAAUAUAUGUGUGUGAAAGAAAGAAAGAAAGAAUAAACUUGAUUCUUCUGGUGAAAAUGAUACUCUCCUUCUAUUCUAUUUUCAAAAUUUCAUAUACAAGUGCCUGAUUAGCAUUAAUGUCUUUCCUAUCAAGCUAAUUAGAACUCGUUUGGUAGUCAACAACAAUAUCAAUAUUUUUUAGAGUUUGAUGAUUCAAUAUUGUAGGAUAAUCUAAUACAAUCACCUUAUUCGGUCAUGUUUCUCUAGGUAAACAUUUACUGCGGUGGAAGCUAGCAAAGCAAUGGGGAGGCAACAUAAUUGUUAUAGGGUGUUAUUUACUACGUUAGAAUGGAUUUACAACACACUAGAUUCGACAAGAAAUA